Molecule: ribosomal RNA, 97 nt
Filed under: uncultured Actinomyces sp.
Lineage: Bacteria; Bacillati; Actinomycetota; Actinomycetes; Actinomycetales; Actinomycetaceae
Source: RNAcentral
CGGUGGUCACAGCGACAGGGACACGCCCGGACCCAUCCCGAACCCGGAAGCUAAGCCUGACAGCGCCGAUGGUACUGCACCCGCCAGGGUGCGGGAG